This 503-nucleotide ribosomal RNA is filed under the name uncultured bacterium. RNAcentral's name for it is "partial 16S ribosomal RNA". It matches the Rfam family "Bacterial small subunit ribosomal RNA", at positions 30 to 523 of the family's 1533-position model. The record is from RNAcentral.
AUUGAACGCUGGCGGCAGGCUUAACACAUGCAAGUCGAGCGGGGUGAUGGUGCUUGCACUAUCACUUAGCGGCGGACGGGUGAGUAAUGCUUAGGAAUCUGCCUAUUAGUGGGGGACAACAUCUCGAAAGGGAUGCUAAUACCGCAUACGUCCUACGGGAGAAAGCAGGGGAUCACUUGUGACCUUGCGCUAAUAGAUGAGCCUAAGUCGGAUUAGCUAGUUGGUGGGGUAAAGGCCUACCAAGGCGACGAUCUGUAGCGGGUCUGAGAGGAUGAUCAGCCACACUGGGACUGAGACACGGCCCAGACUCCUACGGGAGGCAGCAGGGGGGAAUAUUGGACAAUGGGGGGAACCCUGAUCCAGCCAUGCCGCGUGUGUGAAGAAGGCCUUAUGGUUGUAAAGCACUUUAAGCGAGGAGGAGGCUCUUUUGGUUAAUACCCAAGAUGAGUGGACGUUACUCGCAGAAUAAGCACCGGCUAACUCUGUGCCAGCAGCCGCCGCAG